This 489-nucleotide ribosomal RNA is filed under the name uncultured bacterium. RNAcentral's name for it is "partial 16S ribosomal RNA". It matches the Rfam family "Bacterial small subunit ribosomal RNA", at positions 28 to 507 of the family's 1533-position model. The record is from RNAcentral.
GAUGAACGCUAGCGGCAGGCUUAAUACAUGCAAGUCGUGGGGCAGCAGGACUGUAGCAAUACAGUUGCUGGCGACCGGCAAACGGGUGCGGAACACGUACGCAACUUACCCUGAACUGAGGGAUAGCCCGGGGAAACCCGGACUAAUACCCCGUAAUAUAAUGGAGUGGCAUCACUUUAUUAUUAACGCCCCGGCGGUUCGGGACGGGCGUGCGGCUGAUUAGGUAGUUGGUUGAGGUAACGACUCACCAAGCCUACGUUCAGUAACUGGUGCGAGAGCACGACCAGUCACGGGGGCACUGAGAAGCUGUCCCGACUCCUACGGGAGGCAGCAGUAAGGAGUAUUGGGCAAUGGAGGCUACUCUGACCCAGCCAUGCCGCGUGGAGGAUGAGGUCCCUAUGGGUUGUAAACUUCUUUGAUAGGAGACGAAACCUGUGUAUUCUUACGUAGUUGACGGUACCCUAGGAAUAAGCACCGGCUAACUCCGUG